GACGUAGGUGGCGAACGUUAUCCGGAAUUAUUGGGCGUAAAGGGUGCGUAGAUGGCCUGAUAAGUUAGCAGUGGUAAAUCGAGGCUCAACCUCGUGGAAACUGAUAAUACUGUCUGGCUCGAGUACAGAAGAGGUUAACGGAAUUCCAUGUGGAGCGGUAAAAUGCAUAGAUACCACCCAGAACUCCGAUUGCGAAGGCAGCCUACUGGAGGUUCACCGACGCUCAGGCACGAAAGCGUGGGGAUCAAACAGG
RNAcentral lists this ribosomal RNA (253 nucleotides) under uncultured bacterium. RNAcentral's name for it is "partial 16S ribosomal RNA". It matches the Rfam family "Bacterial small subunit ribosomal RNA", at positions 524 to 776 of the family's 1533-position model. The record is from RNAcentral.